CCAACCUGGACCCCAUCCAAUAGGCUCGUGGUCCCUGAUGGUCCUGGACCACUGAUUUGAGGCCUUUCUGCUUCCUUUGAUUCAGUCUUUGGCAGAGACCCAGGAGCAGGAGUCCUUGAUGGCACCUGGCCCUUUCUAGUCACCGACAAGGGAAACCUGAGAAACCAUUCUCAGAAAUGGAACUAAAUUGACACAGCAUUUGUCUCCUCCAGAGGAUACAGCACCAAGGCGCCAUCUUGGAAGUAGACUGGAGCUCUUAGCAGACCAGAACCUGUGGGCAUAUUAUGAAUAUUCAGUGAAACAACGUGUGUGCUCACCAGGCAGGAAGAGCUCAGCAAAUGGUGGCUGGUCUGGAAAUUAUUGUCAUCACUAUAAUCCUCAUCGACAUCCUCAGCCUUAUUGUCAUCAUCAUCAACCUCAUCAGUGUCAUCAUCAGCCUCAUCAACGUCAUCAUCAGCCUCAUCACUGUCAUCAUCAGCCCUUUGUCAUCAUCAUCAUCCACCUUGCUGUUCUCUUCCUUGUUGACAUCAUUAUCCUCAUCCUCCUCAUCACCAUCAACAGCAUUAUUUUUAUUUUUUAUUCUUCCACCUGUAAGAGUUUCUUUUCCUCCCUCUUAUUGUUUUCCUCUUGGGAUGACUAGUGGUGAAGGAAGUGUCAGAGGCAAUGACCUCACAGCUGUCGUUGCCAUGGGUGACACCUCCCAGAAAGAGCUUAUUGGAACUUUCAGUCCAGGGGAGUUUCUGCUGUUCCAGGAUGGAGGAAAUGUUCAAGAACUGUGGAGCAUCUGAGAUUUUUUUCCUACUUUUGAUGUCCACCUAGUCAAAGUUCAGGUAGGCUUAUUGUCUAUUAUAAAAGCUCCAGGUUCCCAAAGCUUGGC
Molecule: long non-coding RNA, 877 nt
Filed under: Homo sapiens (human)
Lineage: Eukaryota; Metazoa; Chordata; Mammalia; Primates; Hominidae
Description: non-protein coding lnc-BUB3-4:20
Source: RNAcentral